UGGUCAAGCUACAAAGGGCUAAUGGUGGAUACCUAGGCACGCAGAGGCGAAGAAGGACGUGGCGACCGACGAAAAGCUCCGGGGAGCUGGAAGCAAGCAUUGAGCCGGAGAUGUCCGAAUAGGGCAACCUAGAAACAGCCUGUUGAAUAUAUAGACAGGUAUGAGCGAACCUAGCGAACUGAAACAUCUUAGUAGCUAGAGGAAGAGAAAGAAAAAUCGAUUUCCCAAGUAGUGGUGAGCGAAAAGGAAAGAGCCUAAACCAGCAAUUUUAAUUACUGGGGUAGUGGGAAAGCAACAUGGAAGCUGGAAGCUAGACGAAGCAGCCAAAAACUGCACCAAAGAAGGUGAUAGUCCUGUAGUCGAAAGUGGAAAGAUACUAGCUUAAUCCCGAGUAGCACGGGGCACGAGAAAUCCCGUGUGAAUCAGCGAGGACCACCUCGUAAGGCUAAAUACUACUGCGUGACCGAUAGUGAAACAGUACCGCGAGGGAAAGGUGAAAAGAACCCCGGAAGGGGAGUGAAAUAGAACAUGAAACCAUUAGCCUACAAGCAGUGGAAGGACGAUUUAACGUCUGACCGCGUGCCUGUUGAAGAAUGAGCCGGCGAGUUAUAAGUAGUGGCAGGUUAAAGCAAUAAUUGCUGAAGCCAAAGCGAAAGCGAGUCUGAAUAGGGCGAAAUAAAUGUCACUGGUUAUAGACCCGAACCCGGGUGAUCUAACCAUGUCCAGGAUGAAGCUUGGGUAACACCAAGUGGAGGUCCGCACCGACUGAUGUUGAAAAAUCAGCGGAUGAGGUGUGGUUAGGGGUGAAAUACCAAUCGAACCCGGAGCUAGCUGGUUCUCCCCGAAAUGUGUUUAGGCGCAGCGGUAGUGAUUAUAGUUUGGGGGUAAAGCACUGUUUCGGUGCGGGCGGCGAAAGCUGUACUAAAUCGAGACAAACUCAGAAUACCAAAUGCACACACUACCAGUGAGACGGUGGGGGAUAAGCUUCAUCGUCAAGAGGGAAACAGCCCAGACCACCAGCUAAGGUCCCCAAAUUGUCACUAAGUGAUAAAGGAGGUGGGAGUGCAAAGACAACCAGGAGGUUUGCCUAGAAGCAGCCAUCCUUAAAAGAGUGCGUAAUAGCUCACUGGUCAAGCGCUCCUGCGCCGAAAAUGAACGGGGCUAAGUGACAUACCGAAGCUGUGGGAUAUCUAAAAAAUAUCGGUAGGGGAGCGUUCUGCUUUGGGUGAAGCACUAGCGGCAAGCAGGUGUGGACGAAGCAGAAGUGAGAAUGUCGGCUUGAGUAGCGAAAACAUUGGUGAGAAUCCAAUGCCCCGAAACCCUAAGGGUUCCUCCGGCAGGUUCGUCCGCGGAGGGUUAGUCAGGACCUAAGGCGAGGCCAAACGGCGUAGUCGAUGGACAACGGGUAAUUAAUCCCGUACUGAUAUUGAUUUGUGCAGAGGGACGGAGAAGGCAUGAGCCAGCCGGAUGUUGGUUACCGGUGCAAGCGUUCAAGGCGUUGAGGAGUGGAGAAAACAUUCCGAGCUAAGGCGUGAGUCCGAGGUGAUACGUCACCGAAGUGGUAGCAGUCAAGCUUCCAAGAAAAGCUCCAAGCACGUUAAGUCAAUGUCACCUGUACCCGAAACCGACACAGGUAGGGAGGUUGAGAAUACCAAGGGGCGCGAGAUAACUCUCUCUAAGGAACUCGGCAAAAUGGCCCCGUAACUUCGGAAGAAGGGGUGCCCACCUAAGACGUGG
Molecule: ribosomal RNA, 1737 nt
Filed under: Tatlockia sp.
Lineage: Bacteria; Pseudomonadati; Pseudomonadota; Gammaproteobacteria; Legionellales; Legionellaceae
Description: partial 23S ribosomal RNA
Rfam family: Bacterial large subunit ribosomal RNA
Source: RNAcentral